CAUGACGCCGUAUCACAGUGGGCCACUCAUGUGCUACAAUAGGCGGGUCAAAGUCAAACCUGUCCCUGUCCGGAUUGGGCCAUGAAACGGGGCCUAUGAAGGUGGAAUAGUGAGUAAUCGGGGAUCAUACACGCUCCGGUGAAGUUGCCGGCCAAACAACCGAAUCGGGCUGCCCAGACCACACCAGUUCGGUUACGGCCGCUAUCGUGCCACAGAUCACCAUAGGCUAUAGUCGGCCGCAGUUGGCUAUGGUUUUACUAUAGUUUGCCGCGGCGGGCUGACAGCGCUCCACCCAAAUACUCCUUUCAGUUGGAUUGCAUGAUAGGAACAAGACCAUGUUGCACACAUUGCCCGUCACUGUCCGAGAUUUCGCGCGAUCAUGAAGAAUGGGGAGUUCAGUGCGCGACCCAAACCAGCGGCCGUGGAGAGAUCGGAUAAAAGUCGUAACAGGUAGGGGUUGAGGAAUCAGUUCCUGGAAUGAAUUAGA
Molecule: ribosomal RNA, 487 nt
Filed under: Polytoma uvella
Lineage: Eukaryota; Viridiplantae; Chlorophyta; Chlorophyceae; Chlamydomonadales; Chlamydomonadaceae
Description: small subunit ribosomal RNA
Rfam family: Microsporidia small subunit ribosomal RNA
Source: RNAcentral